Molecule: ribosomal RNA, 497 nt
Filed under: uncultured bacterium
Lineage: Bacteria
Description: bacterial SSU rRNA
Rfam family: Bacterial small subunit ribosomal RNA
Source: RNAcentral
GAUGAACGCUAGCGGCAGGCCUAAUACAUGCAAGUCGUACGGCAACACAGUUGCGAGCAAUCGCAACCGGUGGCGAGUGGCGCACGGGUGAGUAACGCGUAUGUAACCUACCCUUCUCCGGGACAUAACUCCGCGAAAGCGGUGCUAAUAUCCCAUACCAACUCAUCAAGACAUCUUCUUGAGUUGAAAGCAGCAAUGCGGUGAAGGAUGGGCAUGCGUCCCAUUAGCUGGUUGGUGAGGUAAUGGCCCACCAAGGCUACGAUGGGUAGGGGUUCUGAGAGGAAAGCCCCCCACACUGGUACUGAGACACGGACCAGACUCCUACGGGAGGCAGCAGUAAGGAAUAUUGGGCAAUGGUCGAAAGACUGACCCAGCCAUGCCGCGUGCAGGAUGAAGGCCCUAUGGGUUGUAAACUGCUUUUAGCCGGGAAUAAACACCCGUUUUAAACGGGCCCGAAGGUACCGGCUGAAUAAGCAAUCGGCUAACUCCGUGCCAGC